RNAcentral lists this ribosomal RNA (494 nucleotides) under uncultured bacterium. Its description in RNAcentral is "bacterial SSU rRNA". It matches the Rfam family "Bacterial small subunit ribosomal RNA", at positions 29 to 514 of the family's 1533-position model. The record is from RNAcentral.
AACGAACGCUGGCGGCGCGCCUAAUACAUGCAAGUCGAGCGAGAAGGUGUAGCAAUACACUUGUAAAGCGGCGAACGGGUGAGGAAUACAUGGGUAAUCUACCAUCGAGUGGGGAAUAACCAACCGAAAGGUUGGCUAAUACCGCGUACGCCUCCGGGUCUUCGGGUUCGGAGGGAAAGCUGCACUGUGAGUGUAGCGCUCUUUGAUGAGCUCAUGUCCUAUCAGCUUGUUGGUAGGGUAACGGCCUACCAAGGCUUUGACGGGUAGCUGGUCUGAGAGGACGAUCAGCCACACUGGCACUGCGACACGGGCCAGACUCCUACGGGAGGCAGCAGUAAGGAAUAUUGCGCAAUGGGCGAAAGCCUGACGCAGCGACGCCGCGUGGGGGAUGAAGGUCUUCGGAUUGUAAACCCCUUUCGGGAGGGAAGAUGGAGCGAGCAAUCGUUCGGACGGUACCUCCCAGAAGCAGCCACGGCCGAACUUCGUGCCAGCAG